AUUGUUUUGUAGUUCAUAAGUAGGAUGACUGGGUUGUCACAUGGUUGUGUGAGGUGUGCCUCUCUCAAACCUUGUCACAGUAUUGGCACAAUAUCCAAGUGAGG
This 104-nucleotide small nucleolar RNA is filed under the name Mesocricetus auratus (golden hamster). RNAcentral's name for it is "Small nucleolar RNA U13". It matches the Rfam family "Small nucleolar RNA U13". Lineage: Eukaryota; Metazoa; Chordata; Mammalia; Rodentia; Cricetidae. The record is from Rfam by way of RNAcentral.